This 235-nucleotide ribosomal RNA is filed under the name uncultured bacterium. Its description in RNAcentral is "partial 16S ribosomal RNA". It matches the Rfam family "Bacterial small subunit ribosomal RNA", at positions 334 to 586 of the family's 1533-position model. The record is from RNAcentral.
UUUACCUACGGGACGCAGCAGUGGGGAAUAUUGCACAAUGGGGGAAACCCUGAUGCAGCAACGCCGCGUGAGUGAAGAAGUAUUUCGGUAUGUAAAGCUCUAUCAGCAGGGAAGAAAAUGACAGUACCUGACUAAGAAGCCCCGGCUAACUACGUGCCAGCAGCCGCGGUAAUACGUAGGGGGCAAGCGUUAUCCGGAUUUAUUGGGUGUAAAGGGCGUGUAGGCGGGAAAGCAA